This 329-nucleotide ribosomal RNA is filed under the name Rhipicephalus sanguineus (brown dog tick). RNAcentral's name for it is "partial small subunit ribosomal RNA". Lineage: Eukaryota; Metazoa; Arthropoda; Arachnida; Ixodida; Ixodidae. The record is from RNAcentral.
AGCUUGACAUUGUAAGUAAAUAAUAAUUAUGAAAGCAAAAAAUUAUGGCGGUAUUUUAAGCUUUUCAGAGGAAUUUGCUCUUUAAUGGAUAAAACACCAAAAUCUUACUUAGAUUUGUGAUUUCAAUUUGUAUACCACUAUUAAAACAAUUUAUAACUUUAAUUGUUUAAAUUUACAAAACUAAAAUAUAUUAAGUCAAGGUGCAGUAAAAAUUUAAGGAUGAAGUGAAUUACAUUACUUUUUAGUGAGAUAAAUUUAUAACAAUAUUUAGGAUUUGAAAGUAAAAUUAAAAUAGGAUGUUAAUUUGAAUUAAGCUCUAAAAUAUGUAC